Sycon ciliatum is the source of this 1297-nucleotide long non-coding RNA. RefSeq lists it as uncharacterized. The record is from RefSeq and is a predicted model, not a curated record. Lineage: Eukaryota; Metazoa; Porifera; Calcarea; Leucosolenida; Sycettidae. The transcript is spliced from 3 exons.
UUCCCAUCCACACCGUUUUCCAUCCUCGAUCCUUCGUGGCAAUGGUGACACUCACACCUGAUCUGAUGUGACUUGUGAGCUCUGAUGCGUUGUCUGUGUGCAGUGUUGCUCGCAAACAUGCUGCUCCUCGAUGGUCACGACGUGAUUGGAAAUCUCUUAUCCCAGGAGUUUCGUGGUUUAUUUCGGAGAACAAGUCGAUACGGUACUGCUUAGCAAUGCUAGCAUGCUUGGCAGCCGCAGGCUGAAAAUUAAAUUUAUUUUUUCAUUCAUUUGUGAGGAUAGUAAUAUCCAGUGUUCUGACGACGACGGAUAUCCCUAGCGAUGGCAAUGAAGACUGAUGGGCUCGCUGUAUUCUCUCGCUGUCCGUCUGACAGUGACGACCUGUGCACUGAUGGACGCCAUGUAUCAGGUGCGAACGCUAGUAGCGAGCAGUUCAAGUAACUAAGACAACGCUGAGUAAUAAUCAGUGACCUGUAUUGUGGCUGUGAGAGAAUGAAGCGAAUACGGGGAGGGUUGUGAUGGCCGCCACGCUGACAAGAGAGUCGCGAGUGAUGCAGUGAUGGUGUUACGGACGAACAAAAAACCAAGUGACCAUGACACAGCGGCGACGCAAGUUGUUUUUGCUGUACCUCAGAACUAGACCGAUAUUACCAGGAGGAUGUCAGUGUGCUAUGGGUGGCAUCCAGACACCUAGGAGAUGCGUGGUGUGCAAGGGACAUCCGCUGUUAUAGGUCCUACCAUCAGGCACAGUGUAUUCUACUAGAGCCUCUGACUUCAAACGGUGUGCACAGCAGCACCUGCGACACCUCUAUCAGCCGGCACACCAGCCAGUCUUCUUUCUACUCUCCUGCCAGCAUAGUACAAUGUGAGUGGUUGCACUCUGUUGCUGUAUAAUAUACUGAUACACUGAAGGUGGUGUAUUCUUGUGAGCUAUGCACUGUGACUACACUUCAUGGAAUCUCAGUCACUGAGAUGUUCAAAAACACUGAUCUAACUGUUUCAGAUCAGGAAUAGUCAGUGGGCUCUCUAAUGCAUAACUGGUGCUCUAGUGUGUUCCUCUUGUUCAGUUUUAGAGUUUUCAUAGAUCUUGCUUGUACGCCCUCCUUAGUGGAUCAAUAUGCAGUACAAUAGAUUGGAUUGCUAAGCUGAAAUCUCUGCCCUGCCAUAUACCAUCAUUGAUGCUUAUCACAAUUUUUUGAGGCUGGCAUGCAUCUGAUAUACUCUCUGCUGAUCACAGAUGUCCUAGGAGCAGAUAGUCUAGUGUGGACAUUGACAUCCAUUUUAAAAGAAUUCAAAA